This 254-nucleotide ribosomal RNA is filed under the name uncultured bacterium. RNAcentral describes it as "partial 16S ribosomal RNA". It matches the Rfam family "Bacterial small subunit ribosomal RNA", at positions 524 to 776 of the family's 1533-position model. The record is from RNAcentral.
UACGGGGGGGGCAAGCGUUUGUUCGGAAUUACUGGGCGUAAAGGGCUCGUAGGCGGCCAACUAAGUCAUACGUGAAAUCCCUCGGCUUAACCGGGGAACUGCGUCUGAUACUGGAUGGCUUGAGAUUGGGAGAGGGAUGCGGAAUUCCAGGUGUAGCGGUGAAAUGCGUAGAUAUCUGGAGGAACACCGGUGGCGAAGGCGGCAUCCUGGACCAACACUGACGCUGAGGAGCGAAAGCCAGGGGAGCAAACGGG